UGGGGAAUAUUGCACAAUGGGGGGAAACCCUGAUGCAGCGACGCCGCGUGAAGGAUGAAGUAUUUCGGUAUGUAAACUUCUAUCAGCAGGGAAGAAAAUGACGGUACCUGACUAAGAAGCCCCGGCUAACUACGUGCC
This 138-nucleotide ribosomal RNA is filed under the name uncultured bacterium. RNAcentral describes it as "partial 16S ribosomal RNA". It matches the Rfam family "Bacterial small subunit ribosomal RNA", at positions 355 to 509 of the family's 1533-position model. The record is from RNAcentral.